AGAAGGGUACUCUUUACAGCAAUAGUCAAAGUGCCAUAUUCCUUGCCAAGAAUCCGACAUUUCAUUCGAGGACAAAGCACAUUCAGAUUAGGUAUCAUUUCAUUCAGUCCUAACUUGACGAUGGUCAGUUGAUAUUUGAAAAGAUUUGUGGAAGCAAGAACCCUGCUGAUAUGCUGACAAAGGGUGUUACACUCGAGAAACUGAAAUUAUGCACAACUUCAGUUGGUCUUCUAGUCUGAAGGAAAAGGUCACAAGUUGCAAAGGUGGAGGAUAUUCUUUUCUGAGACAGAUGGUGAUACAUUGGUUGAUCAGUCUCCAAGUGGGAGAAUUGUUGGGCCUUUGUUGCUGAGUCUUGGGCCUUUUUCCGUGGAGCCUAGAUUAUGUCUACCCAAGUCCAAGUCCAAGAAUCUUAGGGCUUUUGUCUUUUACACGUUGUUGUAUAUGUUAUUCUUUUAUUUCCUUUUUGGUUGUG
This 472-nucleotide long non-coding RNA is filed under the name Olea europaea subsp. europaea. Lineage: Eukaryota; Viridiplantae; Streptophyta; Magnoliopsida; Lamiales; Oleaceae. The record is from RNAcentral.